Molecule: ribosomal RNA, 520 nt
Filed under: uncultured bacterium
Lineage: Bacteria
Description: bacterial SSU rRNA
Rfam family: Bacterial small subunit ribosomal RNA
Source: RNAcentral
AGAGUUGAUCAUGGCUCAGGAUGAACGCUAGCUACAGGCUUAACACAUGCAAGUCGAGGGGCAGCAUUGAGAUAGCUUGCUAUUCAGAUGGCGACCGGCGCACGGGUGAGUAACGCGUAUCCAACCUUCCCUAUAGUAGAGAAUAGCCCGGCGAAAGUCGGAUUAAUGCUCUAUGUUGUUCAAUGCGGACAUCUAAGUUGAACCAAAGGUUUACCGCUAUAGGAUGGGGAUGCGUCUGAUUAGGUUGUUGGCGGGGUAACGGCCCACCAAGCCAUCGAUCAGUAGGGGUUCUGAGAGGAAGGUCCCCCACAUUGGAACUGAGACACGGUCCAAACUCCUACGGGAGGCAGCAGUGAGGAAUAUUGGUCAAUGGGCGAGAGCCUGAACCAGCCAAGUAAGCGUGCAGGAUGACGGCCCUAUGGGUUGUAAACUGCUUUUAUACGGGGAUAAAGUGAGGGACGUGUCCCUUUUUGUAGGUACCGUAUGAAUAAGGACCGGCUAAUUCCGUGCCAGCAGCUGC